Nerophis ophidion (straightnose pipefish) is the source of this 10667-nucleotide long non-coding RNA. RefSeq lists it as uncharacterized. The record is from RefSeq and is a predicted model, not a curated record. The transcript is spliced from 2 exons. NCBI's taxonomy places the organism in Eukaryota, Metazoa, Chordata, Actinopteri, Syngnathiformes, Syngnathidae.
AAAGAAGACCACAGCGGUCAGAGCAAAGGGGGCAGGACGACGUCCACUCUUGCGCCUACAAAAACUUCCGUCUGCAUCGACGACACAACUUUCCAACAAGAAACUUGCCUUCGUUGUGCUUUCCAAAGACUCACUUGAAGAAUUUCAGUUUAAAAACAACGGGAGUUACACAGACCUCAUAUUUUCCUCGACGCUGGACGUGAAGGACAAGUGAACCACAUCGUUGACGGAACACUGAAGUUCGCUUUUGACCUCCAUUAGACGUUUAGCCUAAUAUGUUUGACGUUUUCAGAGGGACGGAAGCUGCCUUUUCAUCCUUAUAUGCAAAGUGCCCGAAAGCCCUUCUUUCCCACAACUUGUGUCGGCAGUGAAGUACUCAUGGUUUCUGCUGCGUGAGGAAAACAGUGGAAAGACCCAGGCUGGUUAGCCAUGUUACACGUGUGUAUCACUUGUUGACAAUUGAGUCAUUUAAAGUACGAUAUUCUUCAUGCUUUCACCACACUGGUUGGCAGUUUGGGCUACUGUAAACAUCCUUGACUGGAAGCUGGUGUUUGGGUCCGAGAGCUUUCAGUCGGAUGUUUGCAGCAGCCACCUGCUAGUACCAUCACAAGACAUUGAACACUUCUGUGGACUUGCUUCUGGGAAAUCUGGAGAUGUGAAAUGUGUUGUUUUAUGGGAAAUGUGGUGGGUGACCAAGCACUAGCCUACAUCCUUGGAAACUACCGUUUUUCCCGGGCUAUAGAGCACAUCAGGAUAUAAGCCGCACCCACUGAAUUUUAGGAGAAAUAAAUAUUUAACACGUGUUAGCCGCAUCGGACUGUAAUGUAAGCUGCAGAUAUAUACUAGUACGAAAGAUUGUGUCAAUGUCUAUUUAUGCAAUUGUUUUCGAACAGUGCCUGUCACAAGGUAGUAAAAUGGCUAUUCAAACAAAACAGAAGUCAUCGCCAUGGACCCACUAGCUGCGGAAGUUGGCUUUCCAAGCAGCUAAAGGGACUCAAUAAGUCCACGGUGACAUUUUGGUCGAUUUACGAAACUGAAGCAAUACAAACAUAAUGCCAUUGUAAGUUAGUAAUGCUAACAAAGACACUCGUAAAUUUGAUAGCAUAUUCGCUAAGGCUAGCAACGGUAGCUUGAUCCCAUUACAAAUACACAUACAAAUAUGUAUGAAAACACUUCUACAGACAUCACACAUGGGACGGUUUAGUAAGUAGGAACAGUUUUAAUGAAACUGUAAAACUCACUACUUUACUUGGAGAGAUGAAUGAACAAUUCAUAAGAGUGGAAACGCCAUGGACGAUUAGAAGAGAAAACAGCACUUGUAUUUACGGUUGAAAGCCCUGAACGGAAGGAAAUAAUGCAGAGAUUCACCCCAUAGCACUUGCAGUAAGUGAACUCGUUCAAAAAUGGCACCAUAGCACAAACCAUAAAACACAAUAUCAGUGUCUUUGCAUGCGUUUUAUGAAUUCUAUUUGCAUUAUGGUCAUCAGCAAAGAAAAAUCGAUGAAUUAUCAGCCCCGUUUUAUAAGCUGCAGGUUACAAAGCGUAGGAAAAAAGGAGCAGCUUAUAGUAAUGCGGUAACAGGCACAUUCAUAAUAACAUGCACUAUUUACCUGUUUAGUUCAUUUUAAGCAUAUGGCUGUGCAAUAAUUUCACAGACACAUCACAAUGUUGCCUUUUCCCUUCAACUACAACACUAUUAAUCCCUGAAGACUUCAUGAGAGACAAUGACUAGUUUGGGAAAAAUGAUGAUCAGUGUUAAGUACUAAACAAGACAUACAAAUUAUGAACAUAAUAAAACAAUCACUCAUUGUACAAUGGCUGCUUUGACUGGGAUGCCGAUUCAUGGGAUGUUCAUAUUUUGCCAUUUAGAUGAAUAAUUAAUCAUAAUCCUCACGCAGGUUAAAGAAAAGGUUGGAGUGGGGGCCGCGAACGUGUCUUUUCGUGUCUUUCUCACCAUCACCAGGUAUAAUUUGGAUGUCUGGAUUUACCAACUUCUUUGUUUAUGACAACAACUUCUACUAUUUAAGUAAGGGACAUCAUUUACAAUCUAGAUUAAUUAUUACUAACUGAGAAGCGAUGCAGCAGCUCACAAGCUCAAUAUAGCAGCAUAUGCUAGUUAGCUCUCUGUGUUCACGUCGCCACUAAAAGUAGUUCCUCCGCAUUAGCACUUAAAAUAAAAAAAUAUCACUUAUAGUUUUUGGAUGUUUUUAGAGGGCUUUAUAGGCGCAUCAGACACAAUAAUGUCGUGAGUUCCAUUACCUCUAUUGUGAUCUUACUUUUUCUAGCGUUUGUGAGUUAGAAUCCAUUAAAAAAAAAAGAAAAACUUGUGUUACAUAGGGGUUGGGAUUGAUAGGCAAAAUUCCCCCAAAAGUACAGUUCCCCUUUAAGAAACUUCUGACUUUAGCUCCAGACUUCUUCUGUUUGUUUAAUGUUAUCAUUACUGACACAAGUGGUGGAAAUGUGUAAUACAACGGAGGACUGUUGGCCCCAUACCAACAACAGCUGAGAAGCAUUUUGUCACGGCUCUCUAUGGAGCGCUCGUACACCAACAACGGGCCCCUGCCCUAUGGUUAAGAAUCACAGGUCUAGAUUUGUAUUGGAUAUGCCAUCCAUCCAUCCAUUGCCUACCGCUUAUUCCCUUUUGGGGUCACGGGGGGCUCUGGUGCCUAUCUUAGCUACAAUCGGGGGGAAGGCGGCAUACACCCUGGACAAGUCGCCUCCUCAUCACAAGGCCAACACAGAUAGACAGCCAACAUUCACACUCACAUUCACACACUAGGGCCAAUUUAGUGUUGCCAAUCAACCUAUCCCCAGGUGCAUGUCUUUGUAUUGGAUGUGCUUUGGUGUAAAUUUUUUGUGAGUCGAUCCGGAGCCGUUCCCAGAUUAAAAAUGAAACCACACCCCGCCCUCCCUAAAAGUAUCAUACAUUAUCUUUUGUUUGAACACAUAUUUUUUAUAAUGAUAAUAAUAAUUGUAAGCUUCUUACUCAAAGUUCCCACAGAUGCACGCUGGACGCCAGUGGUUCGGGUGUGACAGUAGUUUUAAUUUUUCAAUUUUGCUCAGGAUCACGCUUUUCUGCUUGACUUUUUCAGUCUCACCAACAGCAGCCCCCUUCUCCUCCGCUGGCCGUUUACUGUUAAAGACAACAGUUGAUUAGAUCAGCGCGUACCACCUGCGACAUCUAAUCAACUGCCAGCUGCGUCUCGCCGUGCUGCCCAUGCCACGCCCCCGUCUGAGGGUGCGCUGUCUCCAGCCACCCAGACGGGGUCGCUGAUCUUCCUACCUGCAGUGUGCUAAUCACAACCUCCCUCCACAUACCUCCACCGCCAGACUUAGGCCGGGCCCCGGCCGCACUUACUCCCCACGCCUGAGCGCGGGAGAGGAAGUCUGCCGACCAUCUGCGCUCCCGGCCUAUGGACCACUCUGAAAUUGUAGGGUUGUAAAGCGAGAUACCACCUGUUGAUCCGCGCGUUGGGAUCUUUCAUGCGGUGGAGCCACUGGAGGGGCUUGUGGUCCGAGCAGAGGCUGAAUGGGCGUCCCAGCAGAUAGUACCGCAGGGCACCGACAGCCCACCGGAUGGCGAGGCACUCCCUCCCCACCGUGCUGUAUCUGGUUUCCCUUUCCGAAAGUUUCCUGCUGAUGUACAGGACCGGAUGGUCGCUGCCCCCCCGCUGCUGGGAUAAAACGGCUCCCAGUCCUCUGCCCGACGCAUCUGCCUGCAAACAAAAUGGAAUGGAAAAAUCAGGCAUGUACAGUACCAGCUCCUCGCAAAGUACUUUCCUUACCUUCUCGAAUGCCUGCUGGCACCGCUCUGUCCACUGGACCAGAUCUGGGGCACCUUUCCGGGUGAGGUCAGUUAGUGGACUGGUCAGGUCUGCAAACCGGGGGAGAAACCUCCGGUAGUAGCCCACCAGCCCCAAAAACUGCCUCACCUCCUUUUUCGUCUUCGGGGUCGGGCAGGCCGCAACUGCUGCGGUUUUAUCUACCUGGGGCCGCACCUGGCCUUCCCCCAAGUGGUACCCCAGUUACUGUACCUCCCGCCGGCCAACCGCGCACUUCGACGGGUUGGCGGUGAGCCCCGCCCGCCUGAGGGACUCGAGUACCGCUCCCACUCUCUGCAUAUGCUCCGCCCAGCUGUUCCCCUGGAUGAUGACAUCAUCCAGAUAGGCGGCAGCAUAUGCAGUGUGCGGUUGCAGCACCCGGUCCAUGAGUCUCUGAAAUGUGGCGGGCGCACCCAACAAGCCGAACGGAAGGGUCACGAAUUGGUAUAACCCUUCCAGAGUGGAGAAUGACGUUUUUUCCUUGGACUCUGGAGACAAGGGAAUCUGCCAGUAGCCCUUAGUCAAAUCCAGUGUCGUAAAAAAACGAGCAGUGCCCAACCGGUCCAGGAGCUCGUCGACCCGAGACAUUGGAUAGGUGUCAAAACGUGACACAUCAUUCACCUUGCGGUAGUCUACACAGAACCGUACAGACCCAUCUUUCUUCCCUACCAGAACUAUGGGGCUACACCAUGCACUGUGGGACUCUUCUAUCACUCCCAAUUCCAACAUGGCUUUUAAUUCUUCCCGAACUACUUUGCGUUUGUGUUCGGGCAGCCUAUAGGGCCAAGACCUCACAGUCACGCCCGUGCUGGUCUCUAUGUGAUGCUGGGUGAGAGUCGUGCGGCCUGGCAGGGGAGAGAAAACGUGAGCAAAAUGUUGCUGCAAUUUGGCCACGUCUGCUUUCUGUGACAGCGUAAGAUGAUUAUCACAGCGGAGAGGGAAACCUCCAGCCCCAGCUCCUCGCUCUCCGCUAUCGCCGUCACCAUGGAGACGGGCUCCGCUUCCCUCCAACCUUUUAGUAGGUUGAGGUGGUAUAUUUGUGUUGCCCCGCCCCGGUCAGACCGCCUGACCUCAUAAUCCACCUCACCUACUCGUCGUGUGACCACGAAGGGUCCUUGCCACUUGGCGAGUAAUUUGGAACUGGAUGUUGGGAGUAACACAAGUACUUUCUCUCCCGGUGAAAAUUGUCUAAGUUGCGCUCCCCUGUUAUACAGGCGCUGUUGACGUUUUUGAGCUUGGAGCAAAUUCUCACGUGACAAGUGCCCUAAUGUGUGGAGUUUUGCUCUCAAGUCCAUGACAUACUGAAUUUCAUUUUUACUGGGGCUUGGACCUUCCUCCCAGCUUUCUUUAACCAGGUCUAGUACCCCCCUCGGCUUCCUGCCGAACAAUAACUCAAAUGGAGAAAAUCUUGUUGAGGCCUGGGGAACCUCCCGCACUGCAAAUAACAGGGGAUCCAACCAUUUAUGCCAAUUUGGUUUGUCCUCGUGUACGAACUUCCGGAUCAUGGAUUUCAAAGUUCUAUUCAUCCGCUCCACCAACUCAUCUGUCUGUGGGUGGUAAACGCUAGUCCAAAUAGACUUGAUCCCCAAUAAACCGUACAGUUCCUUUAACGUGCGUGACAUAAAGGACGUGCCUUGGUCAGUUAGAAUCUCUUUCGGGAUUCCAACUCGGGAGAUAAUUUGAAAUAGUGCCUGUGCUACACUCUUUGCAGAGAUGGAGCGCAGUGGCACUGCUUCGGGAUAGCGCGUUGCAUAAUGCACCAGGACUAGUGCAAAGCGAUAUCCCUGGAAGCUCGGGUGAAAUGGCCCGACAAGGUCCAUGCCAAUUCGCUCAAAUGGGACCUCUAUGAGUGGUAAUGGCCUCAAAGGUGCUCUAGGGGUGGCCGUGGGGUUGACUAGUUGACAUUCCGGGCAUGCCGCGCACCACCGGCGCACGUCUGCCCGAAUGCCUGGCCAAUAGAAAUUAUCCAAUUAAGUGUUUUAUCAUAGCCCAUGUGUCCAGCCAUUGGGUUAAAAUGAGCCGCCUGGAAAAUCAUUUCCCGACGGCUUUUUGGUACCAACAAUUGGGUAAUUUCCUCCCCUGUCUGAGUGUCACGGCUCACUCUGUAUAGUCUGUCCCUAAUCAAUACAAAAUGAGGGAAGUCCCGCGUUAUUCCCAGGCGAACCCGCUGCCCAUCAAUUGCAAUCACUUUGUCCCAGGUCUCGCGCAAAGUGUCAUCUCGAGACUGCUCGAGUGGAAAAUCAUCCGUGGGGCGCCAUCGGGGCACCGGGGAAACCUCCUGGGAAGUCCCCGCCGGCCCCCCUUCUCCCUCCCCCUCCCCCUCGGCAGCAUCGAAUAAACUCGCGUCGCCGAUGAGAACAGCACGGGUAUCCCCUUUCCCUACCGUCCGUGAACGCACACCUGCACAUUGCUUCAUUAACCCCUUAAAUCCCGACCAAUUUGUUCCCAAGAUUAAGGGGUGCGCAAGGCGCGAACUUACAGCAGCCUUAACAUUAUGUUUUUCACCCCUGAAAAAAAUUUCCACCGGCACAACGGGAUACGUGUGAAUAUCCCCAUGCACACAUUUAACCCGCACCCGUGUAACCUUACUCAAUACCCCGGGUCGAACCAGGUUUUGGUGAAUCAUGGAUUGUUCACAGCCCGAAUCCACCAUCGCCCGGUGUAUACUCCCUUGUAUCCUUACCGGUACAUAGUAUGUCUCUCCCGGACCAGGGGAGGAUGCCGGAGGGUCGUCCACCCGGAUCACCUUCCCCACUUCCAUCGCUGGACACUCCCGUUGCAGGUGACCCAGUCGUCGGCACCUCCAACACACCUGCCCCGGCAUUCGAGCCGCUGUUUGCGGGGGAGACGCAGUGUCUGCAGCGGUCUGUCCCUGCGGAGGAGAAAGCAAAUUUAUGUUUCGUGGCCUGUUCCCUCUGGUGGUGGCCGCAUUCUGCGCGGCGCCGGUACUGGCCGCUCCGCUCCUCCUGCAACCUUCUCCCGCUGUACCGCCAGGUGGUCCUCCGCCAAGGCUACCGCCGCUGCUACCUCUUGUGGCCGGUGGUAGCGGACCCAUGCCGAUGUCCGCGCCGGGAUUGCCUCCAGGAAUUGCUCCAAUAUUAUUUGUUCGAUCACCUCUUCGGUGCUUCCGGGUUGUAGCCAUCUGGUUGCCGCAUCUCUUAAUUGUUGCCCCUGGACGAAAGGCCGCUCAUCUUGUCCUAGUUUCCUGCUUCGAAACUUCCGUCUAUGGUCUUCUUUGGUUCCUCUUGUCCGGUCCAACACCGCCCUCCUCAUGUCCCUGUAGCUCACCCGGGACGCUGGUGGCAGGCUGAGCGCCGCUCGCUGCGCCUCUCCCGCCAGCAACGGCAGCAGCCGCACCGCCCACUCUUCUUCCGGCCAUCCGCAUGACUUGGCUGUGGCCUCGAACAUGUCCAGGAAACUAUGUGGAUCUUCGGUUUCCGCCAUCCUGUGCAUCCCCACUGCUGUCAAAGCCGGCCUCGCUGUUGUGUGUGUCCCCGCUCCGGUCCUGUCCGUCAGCGCCUGCAGAAUCUGACUCUGCUGCGCAACUUGGCUUUGCAUCGCGUCCAUCUGCGGUAGACACUUCUGCCAGCAACUGUCCCAGCGCCUCUAUGGGGCUUGGUGACGACAUCGCAGCUUUUGUUUUUGUUGGGCGCCAAUUGUAAGCUUCUUACUCACAGUUCCCACAGAUGCACGCUGGACGCCAGUGGUUCGGGUGUGACAGUAGUUUUAAUUUUUCAAUUUUGCUCAGGAUCACGCUUUUCUGCUUGACUUUUUCAGUCUCACCAACAGCAGCCCCCUUCUCCUCCGCUGGCCGUUUACUGUUAAAGACAACAGUUAAUUAGAACAGCGCGUACCACCUGCGACAUCUAAUCAACUGCCAGCUGCGUCUCGCCGUCCUGCCCAUGCCACGCCCCCGUCUGAGGGUGCGCUGUCUCCAGCCACCCAGACGGGGUCGCUGAUCUUCCUACCUGCGGUGUGCUAAUCACAACCUCCCUCCACAUAAUAAUAUACCAUUUUUCACAUACGUGGUCAGAAAUAAACUUCAAUAUGUAGCUGAGAUAGGCACCAGCACCCCCCGCGACCCCAAAGGUAAUAAGCGGUAGAAACUUGGAUGGAUGUAGAUUCACCUAGUCACAUUAGGUACACCUGCAAAAAAACUAGUUCACCCUCUGUGUUAUGAUGUGCAUGCCAAGAUUAGAUGAAAGUAGUACUUUAUUUUACCUUUUCUUCAAAUACACCUGACUUCAUACAGUGCACUUCCCCCUCUGGCUGACAGCUUGACUUAAUGUCCAAAUAAGUACGUCCACCUCGCUGUGCCGUCACAACGUAUCCAGAUUGCAAUUACACGCAAAAAGAGGUAUCCAAAACUGUGUAAGCUCACGGAAAAAUGCAUGAACCUUAUGACUUGACACCUUGGCAUUGUUUAGAAUAGAAUAGAAAGUACUUUAUUGAUCCCUGGGAGAAAUUCAGCUUUAAAGGCCUACUGAAAUGAGAUUUUCUUAUUUAAACGGGGAUAGCAAGUCCAUUCUAUGUGUCAUACUUGAUCAUUUUGCGAUUUUGCCAUAUUAUUGCUGAAAGGAUUUAGUAGAGAACAUCGACGAUAAAGUUUGCAACUUUUGGUGCUGACAAAAAAACCUCGCCUUUACCGGAAGUAGCAGACGAUGACAUCACCGGUGAGAGGGCUCCUCACAUCCUCACAGUGUUUAUAAUGGGAGUCCACAGCGGCAAGAGCUAUUCAGAACGAGAAAACAACAAUUUCCCCAUUAAUUUGAGCAAGGAUGAAAGAUUUGUGGAUGAUGAUAUUGAUAGCGAAGGACUAGAAAAAUAAUAAUAAAAUAAAAAGCAACGGUGGCGGAAGCAGUAUGAGCGUUUCAGACGUAAUUAGACACAGUUACUAGGAUAAUUCUGGAAGGUCCCUGAUCUGCUUAUUGUUUUGAUAGUGUUUUAGUGAGAUUGUAAAGACAUACCUCGAGGUCGGAUGGCUGCGGUGAACACGCAGUAUCUCAGAUAGAAGCCGAGGAGCCAAGCUCACAGCUGCCUUUUAAACAGCAACUGCAGAAGGACUAUUAAUCCAAUAAUGUUUCCAGUAAGAUAUAUAUCACAAUUUUCCCAUCCAAAAACAUGCUGGUUGACGUAGAGAAACAUGUUCGCUUGACCGCUCUGUGUUAAAAACAAAGAAACACCGUCUGUCUCGGUGCCAAAGACAGCUGCAAUACACCGCUUUCCACCAACAGCAUUGUUCUUUAUAGUCUCCAUUAUUAAUUGAACAAAUAGCAAAAGAUUCAGCAACACAGAUGUCCAGAAUACUGUUUAAUUGGGCGAUGAAAAGAGACGACUUUUAGCCGCAAAUGGUGGUGCGCUAAUAUUUCCUGACAGUCCGUGACGUCACGCGCACGCGUCAUCAUUCCGCGACGUUUACAACAAGAAACUUCGCGGGAAAUUUAAAAUUGCAAUUUAGUCAACUAAACCGGCCGUAUUGGCAUGUGUUGCAAUGUUAAUAUUUCAUCUUUGAUAUACAAACUAUCAGACUGCGUGCGUGGUCGGUAGUCCUGGGUUUCAGUAGGCCUUUAACACGUGUUUCUAACAUUGUAACAUUAUUUAUAAGUCAGAAAAGAUCAACUUCAUCAUAGAUCCUUUAAAUCUGUUCUUUUAAACUAUAAUUAGUAACACAUGCAGGCCGACGUUGUUUUUUUUUUUUUUGUUGCAAAUAGUCAUCUUAAGUAGUGGCAUACUGCAGCUUUAAUUGUAUUUAAAAGUUUGACUGAUAUAGUUAGACUGCUUCUUGUAUGUAACAUGUUGCCAUCUUUAAUAUGAAUAGGAAAUAAGUCAGGAAUAUGUAAAAAAAAAAGGUAACAAAUGUAAAAUGACAAACACUGAAGAGUGAAUUAAGAUAUACAAAAUAUGUAGUAAAAGGUGCUACAUUUAAAAUUAAUGGACUAACAAUAAAUUAUUUUAGACACGGUUGUCAGUAUUUGUCUUCGUCGAUGUACUUUUUAACAACUUUGCUUUUACCGUUUCUCAAACUUGUAUUAACACAGUCUGCUUUUGUGUCCUAGUUUUAGUCCACAUCUUACAUAGACAUCAUCAACCUUUGCCACUCAACCAACAAACAUCAUUAGUUACCGGGGAUAAAUAUUCACUAAAUAAAAACAACAAGCAUGUUUUUAGCAGUGGCACAUUCCUCAAUAUAUGCUGCGCAUUUAAAUACACACUCUUACUCUUUAUACAACAUGUAUUGCUCAAUUCAUGAUAAAAACGUGUUAAAUUAUUUGACAGAAAUUAUACAAAGUCAGCAAAAUAAUGAUCUAAAGUCAAAUUACAAACAAAGUGAAGACGGUGGCUGAGAGGAGCUUCGAUACUCUGAGAUGUCACAUGAAAAAAGCCAGUGCUGACGUUUUUGUAAUAAAUGUCUUCAUUCUUCAGCUGGGCUGAGAGGAUGUGUGCGUGCGUUUGUGUGUGUGCGUGUGUGUGUAACACAGCACAGCACAGGACCAAAGACUCGAAGGAAGAAGAGAAGGAAGGAAGCAGUGACAUAUUGUAAACUAACUCACCCUCACAUCCAUCAAAUGAUGGACCACUGAGUCGCAGGAAGUGUAAACAUCCUACACUCUCGGCAUCUUCCCCCUGGUGGCCGGGAGUGGGAAUGUUUGCUCUGCCUUGCUCGGGAAUUCAACUUGGGAGCAAAAGUCACGUUGAAUACACUGACUCUCAUCUGGUACUUAAUUUCUUUAAAAAGCAACUUGCUUUAAUUGUUGUUGAAUAGUGGAAAAUGAAUGAAUAAAUGUAUUUCUAUGAGGUUUUUGCUUUUGUUGGAAAUGAUGGUUAUUGAAUAAAUGACUAAAUGAG